Suricata suricatta (meerkat) is the source of this 1059-nucleotide long non-coding RNA. RefSeq lists it as uncharacterized. The record is from RefSeq and is a predicted model, not a curated record. The transcript is spliced from 8 exons. Lineage: Eukaryota; Metazoa; Chordata; Mammalia; Carnivora; Herpestidae.
AAAAGCUGAGCUUCCCAUGGGCUGAUCCUAACCAGUGACUGAACCCCACAAGAAUGGAACUUUUACAUUAACAAGAAGACAAGCAGAUGAGCAUUUCAACCAUUACAACACUGGGAUGCUACAAGAGAUGUUCUUCUGGACCGAAAAUCUCGGUUCUUGGAGUGGAGAGGGAAGAGAGGAAGGCAUUCUUCUCUCAGCAUCUUUGGGAGUGUGAUGGAGUAUUGGAGUCAGAUUACCACAUUAUCCUCCAGAGCUAGAGGCUCUCUUUAAGCUAUCAACAUUCUUUUCAUUAGCUGAAUUAUGGAACAUUGCACAAAUUGCUAUUUUAGGUGUUAGGGGAAUGAACCAGAAAUUCUCCCUCUCACUGGGAGUAGGAAGUGGGGAGUGCUGAGCAUCAGUGUAUCCUGAACUUACAGCCUUACAGAGGAGUCAACUGUCAAGCCUGAAAUGACUUCAUGGAAAACAGAGACAAGAUGCAGGCCGAGAGGAGAAUGGAAACAUAGGUAACACCGAUUUUAUCUUCUGAUCUGCAGUGCCCAGCACAAUGGACCAGGGAGACACACAGGUAAUUGGAUGUCAGCUAGAGCUCUCUCCUUUUUCACACAUGAAGAACCUGAGAUUCGCUUGGUCCUGUGUCUUGUUGCAUAAAACUCGCAGCUUCUGACUUCAAUGAGCCAAGGUCAUUUUUAUGAAGAGUUAAUUUGUUUAAACAGAAUACUUAAAGGAAUAACACAGAGAACCAACAUUAUGAAUGUGUACCUGCAUAUAUAAGAACUCAUCUAGAAAAGUAUCGUCAGUAGAUGGAACAUAGUACGUAAUGAACAGUCCGUGAAAACCACUUCGUUGCCACCAAUGGGAAAUUUUUUGGUUUUCAAAUACAUGAAAGCUGGCAUCAUGCAGAACAAUUUUAUAAGUUUCUGUACACAUGCUAUCAUGUGGCAUUUCUGAAACCUAUUUACUGAAACACUUUGACUUGCCCUAGCUUUUUAUGCCUAUGCAUUUACAUAAAAAUUUACACACAAGUGAAAAUUGAAAAUAUAAUAACUUGCCAAUAUCUGA